Molecule: ribosomal RNA, 700 nt
Filed under: uncultured bacterium
Lineage: Bacteria
Description: bacterial SSU rRNA
Rfam family: Bacterial small subunit ribosomal RNA
Source: RNAcentral
GGCAGCACGAUGUAGCAAUACAUUGGUGGCGACCGGCGCACGGGUGAGUAACGCGUAUGCAACCUACCUAUCAGAGGGGAAUAACCCGGCGAAAGUCGGACUAAUACCGCAUAAAACAGGGGUUCCACAUGGAAAUAUUUGUUAAAGAAUUAUCGCUGAUAGAUGGGCAUGCGUUCCAUUAGAUAGUUGGUGAGGUAACGGCUCACCAAGUCCACGAUGGAUAGGGGUUCUGAGAGGAAGGUCCCCCACACUGGUACUGAGACACGGACCAGACUCCUACGGGAGGCAGCAGUGAGGAAUAUUGGUCAAUGGGCGAGAGCCUGAACCAGCCAAGUCGCGUGAAGGAUGAAGGAUCUAUGGUUUGUAAACUUCUUUUAUAUGGGAAUAAAGUGAGGAACGUGUUCCUUUUUGUAUGUACCAUAUGAAUAAGCAUCGGCUAACUCCGUGCCAGCAGCCGCGGUAAUACGGAGGAUGCGAGCGUUAUCCGGAUUUAUUGGGUUUAAAGGGUGCGUAGGUGGUUAAUUAAGUCAGCGGUGAAAGUUUGUGGCUCAACCAUAAAAUUGCCGUUGAAACUGGUUGACUUGAGUAUAUUUGAGGUAGGCGGAAUGCGUGGUGUAGCGGUGAAAUGCAUAGAUAUCACGCAGAACUCCGAUUGCGAAGGCAGCUUACUAAACUAUAACUGACACUGAAGCACGAAAGC